RNAcentral lists this unclassified non-coding RNA (314 nucleotides) under plant metagenome. RNAcentral describes it as "partial contains 5.8S ribosomal RNA, internal transcribed spacer 2, and large subunit ribosomal RNA". The stretch from base 1 to 105 matches the Rfam family "5.8S ribosomal RNA", at positions 50 to 154 of the family's 154-position model. The record is from RNAcentral.
GAAAUGCGAUAAUUAAUGUGAAUUGCAGAAUUCAGUGAAUCAUCGAGUCUUUGAACGCACAUUGCGCCCCCUGGUAUUCCGGGGGGCAUGCCUGUCCGAGCGUCAUUGCUGCCCUCAAGCACGGCUUGUGUGUUGGGCUUCCGUCCCUGGCAACGGGGACGGGCCCAAAAGGCAGUGGCGGCACCAUGUCUGGUCCUCGAGCGUAUGGGGCUUUGUCACCCGCUCCCGUAGGUCCAGCUGGCAGCUAGCCUCGCAACCAAUCUUUUUAACCAGGUUGACCUCGGAUCAGGUUGGGAUACCCGCUGAACUUAAGC